Unclassified non-coding RNA from Macaca fascicularis (crab-eating macaque), 147 nucleotides. It matches the Rfam family "Metazoan signal recognition particle RNA". From Rfam's summary of the family: The signal recognition particle (SRP) is a universally conserved ribonucleoprotein. It is involved in the co-translational targeting of proteins to membranes. The record is from Ensembl. NCBI's taxonomy places the organism in Eukaryota, Metazoa, Chordata, Mammalia, Primates, Cercopithecidae.
GCCGGGCGUGGUGGCGGGCGCCUGUAGUCCCAGCUACUCGGAGGCUGAGGCGGGAGAAUGGCGUGAACCCGGGAGGUGGAGCUUGCAGUGAGCCGAGAUCGCGCCACUGCACUCCAGCCUGGGUGACAGAGCGAGACUCCGUCUCAA